AACGAACGCUGGCGGCAUGCCUAACACAUGCAAGUCGAACGAGAUCUUCGGGUCUAGUGGCGCACGGGUGCGUAACGCGUGGGAAUCUGCCCUUUGGUUCGGAAUAACAGUUGGAAACGACUGCUAAUACCGGAUGAUGACGAAAGUCCAAGAUUUAUCGCCAGAGGAUGAGCACCCGUAGGAUUAGCUAGUCGGUGUGGUAAAGGCGCACCAAGGCGACGAUCCUUAGCUGGUCUGAGAGGAUGAUCAGCCACACUGGGACUGAGACACGGCCCAGACUCCUCCGGGAGGCAGCAGUGGGGAAUAUUGGACAAUGGGCGAAAGCCUGAUCCAGCAAUGCCGCGUGAGUGAUGAAGGCCUUAGGGUUGUAAAGCUCUUUUACCCGGGAUGAUAAUGACAGUACCGGGAGGAUAAGCUCCGGCUAACUCCGUGCCAGCCGCCGCGGUAA
This 448-nucleotide ribosomal RNA is filed under the name uncultured bacterium. RNAcentral describes it as "partial 16S ribosomal RNA". It matches the Rfam family "Bacterial small subunit ribosomal RNA", at positions 29 to 523 of the family's 1533-position model. The record is from RNAcentral.